AAAUCUUCAAUUGGCUUCUGUUUCAAAACAAAAUAUUGACAGCAAAGAAUUUGGAAAAGAGGCACAUGCAAAUUCAGUUCAAAUGCCCGCUCUGUGCAAAAGAUGAGGAAUCAGCAGAUCACCUCUUCGCAGAGUGCACCUUUACCAGGCAAAUCUGGAACCUCAUCGGACAGAAGCUAAACAUCAAUCUUAACUUCAAUUCUAUUGACGAUCUAUGGAGAGAGCAGAGACUCUCACUCCCAAACCAAAUCAAACCAAAAGCAUGGGACACCUUGGUAGGUAGGAAUAGUGUGUUGGAUGAUUUGAAAGGAAAGAAACAAGAGGCUUUUCUGUUUUGAAGCCCAUCUCCCAAGGAUUAUCUUCAGCCGAAUAGUCUCCUCGCUACAGGAAUGGAUUCUGUGCUGCUCUGUAAAGAACAAGCGCUACCUCGAGUCAGUGGUGUCAAGGCUAAUGGGUGAAGGAAAUGGAUAAAGGAAA
This 477-nucleotide long non-coding RNA is filed under the name Elaeis guineensis (African oil palm). RNAcentral describes it as "long non-coding RNA (EGUI_LNC044807)". The record is from RNAcentral. Lineage: Eukaryota; Viridiplantae; Streptophyta; Magnoliopsida; Arecales; Arecaceae.